AUACGUAGGGUGCGAGCGUUAAUCGGAAUUACUGGGCGUAAAGGGUGCGCAGGCGGUUUUGUAAGUCAGAUGUGAAAUCCCCGGGCUUAACCUGGGAAUGGCGUUUGAAACUGCAAGGCUAGAGUGUAGCAGAGGGGAGUGGAAUUCCGCGUGUAGCAGUGAAAUGCGUAGAUAUGCGGAGGAACACCGAUGGCGAAGGCAGCUCCCUGGGCUAACACUGACGCUCAUGCACGAAAGCGUGGGGAGCAAACAGAAUUAGAUACCCUGGUAGUCCACGCCCUAAACGAUGUCAACUAGUUGUCGGGCCUAAUUGAGGGUUUGGUAACGUAGCUAACGCGUGAAGUUGACCGCCUGGGGAGUACAAUCGCAAGAUUAAA
This 377-nucleotide ribosomal RNA is filed under the name uncultured bacterium. RNAcentral describes it as "bacterial SSU rRNA". It matches the Rfam family "Bacterial small subunit ribosomal RNA", at positions 523 to 898 of the family's 1533-position model. The record is from RNAcentral.